RNAcentral lists this ribosomal RNA (472 nucleotides) under uncultured bacterium. RNAcentral describes it as "bacterial SSU rRNA". It matches the Rfam family "Bacterial small subunit ribosomal RNA", at positions 8 to 526 of the family's 1533-position model. The record is from RNAcentral.
AGAGUUUGAUCCUGGCUCAGAACGUACGCUGGCGGCACGCCUAACACAUGCAAGUCGAACGCAGUAGCAAUACUGAGUGGCAAACGGGUGAGUAUAAUGUGGGAAUCUGCCUUUUGGUUCGGAAUAACACGGGGAAACUUGUGCUAAUACCGGAUAAGCCUUUACAGGGAAAGUUUUAAUGCCAAAAGAUGAGCCCGCACUUGAUUAGCUAGUUGGUAAGGUAAAAGCUUACCAAGGCAACGACCAAUAGCUGUUCUUAGAGGAAGACCAGCCACAUUGGGACUGAGACACGGCCCAGACUCCUACGGGAGGCAGCAGUGGGGAAUCUUGCACAAUGGGGGAAACCCUGAUGCAGCGAUGCCGCGUGAGUGAAGAAGGCCCUUGGGUUGUAAAACUCUUUCGUCGAGGAAGAAAAUGACUGUACCCGAAUAAGAAGGUCCGGCUAACUUCGUGCCAGCCGCCGCGGUAAUAC